CCUACGGGAGGCAGCAGUGAGGAAUAUUGGUCAAUGGACGAGAGUCUGAACCAGCCAAGUAGCGUGAAGGAUGACUGCCCUAUGGGUUGUAAACUUCUUUUAUAUGGGAAUAAAAUGUUCCACGUGUGGGAUUUUGUAUGUACCAUAUGAAUAAGGAUCGGCUAACUCCGUGCCAGCAGCCGCGGUAAUACGGAGGAUCCGAGCGUUAUCCGGAUUUAUUGGGUUUAAAGGGUGCGUAGGUGGAUUGUUAAGUCAGGUGUGAAAGUUUGCGGCUCAACCGUAAAAUUGCAGUUGAAACUGGCAGUCUUGAGUACAGUAGAGGUGGGCGGAAUUCGUGGUGUAGCGGUGAAAUGCUUAGAUAUCACGAAGAACUCCGAUUGCGAAGGCAGUUCACUGGACUGCAACUGACACUGAGGCUCGAAAGUGUGGGUAUCAAACAGGAUUAGAUACCCUUGUAGUC
Molecule: ribosomal RNA, 460 nt
Filed under: uncultured bacterium
Lineage: Bacteria
Description: partial 16S ribosomal RNA
Rfam family: Bacterial small subunit ribosomal RNA
Source: RNAcentral